RNAcentral lists this ribosomal RNA (253 nucleotides) under uncultured bacterium. RNAcentral's name for it is "partial 16S ribosomal RNA". It matches the Rfam family "Bacterial small subunit ribosomal RNA", at positions 524 to 776 of the family's 1533-position model. The record is from RNAcentral.
UACGUAGGGGGCAAGCGUUGUCCGGAUUUAUUGGGCGUAAAGCGCGUGUAGGCGGCCACGCAGGUCCGCUGUGAAAACUCGAGGCUCAACCUCGAGAUGUCGGUGGAAACCGCGUGGCUAGAGUCCGGAAGGGGAGAGUGGAAUUCCCGGUGUAGCGGUGAAAUGCGCAGAUAUCGGGAAGAACACCCAUGGCGAAGGCAGCUCUCUGGGACGGUACUGACGCUGAGACGCGAAAGCGUGGGGAGCGAACAGG